RNAcentral lists this long non-coding RNA (1008 nucleotides) under Podarcis muralis (Common wall lizard). Its description in RNAcentral is "lncRNA (ENSPMRG00000008867.1)". The record is from RNAcentral. Lineage: Eukaryota; Metazoa; Chordata; Lepidosauria; Squamata; Lacertidae.
AUGUCAAAGGAUGAGGCGACCGCCCAGGCACCAUUCCCGCUGGUUCCUGAGGGCUCCCCUAUUCUCCUCCUGCAACCCAAAAAGAGAGAGCAAGUUCCAGCCUGGGCUGCGGCCACCUCCCAAGCAUCGUGCCCGUUCCCUUUCCAUUCCCCCACCAGCACAAAAGCCCAACCACGCUCUGGAAGCAGAGCCGCGCCAACGCCAGGAAGCGAGGCAGCUUUCAAAAUCCGAAUGGCAAAGCCACGUUGGAGGAGCCACCGUAGGAGAAGCUACUGCUGCCCAGCCCGGCCCAGUCCGGGCCGCCCUCACGAAAUCCUCGUAGACAACUCGCUGGCCGGGCCUCCUUCCUCCUCCCGGCCGCUGCCAGCCAGGCCAGACCGGGCCAGGGAGCGGCCUUUCAGCGCGCCCCGGACUCCGGGCUCCGGCGCGCGUUUGCCAAGGCAGCGGCCGCUUCCCAGAGAGCGCCGCCCGUCGAGGGGGGCUGGGAGCCGCAGCCGGCGCUGGAGAAAGAGCGACGCGGUGCUGGCUCUCCCGGUCCGAGGAAGGGCUCUUGCUGAGCGGCCUCGGCUCCCCUACCCUCGACCCUCCCCCUUCCUCUCGCCACCCACCACCUCCCCACAAAAAAACCCCGAGCGCUGGCCGUCGCGGGGCGCCCUUCCCGGCUCAGCAUCCUCGUCGUCGCCCGCUCGCACUCACCUUCCACGGCGGCGGCCAGGCGCAGCAGCGGCGGCAAUAGCAGGAGCCCGAGCCGAAGCAGGAGCGCACCCGGGCCCGGCGGCGGCUCCAUGGCGCGGCGCUCUCAGGGGCUCUAGGCGGCCAUGGAGCUCCGAGGAGAGCGGCAAGGCCGGCGGGGGGGAAAGGAGGAGGAGGAGGAUCGGGGGCUGGAGUGGGGUAGGGAGGAGGAUCGGGGAGGGGGCGCUGCCUGGCUCGCUCGCGCCCCGCUUGGACGCUCGCUCGCUCGCUCCGUCCGCGACCGUGUCCGCCUGGCGCUCUGGGAGAGGGAGCUAG